Molecule: ribosomal RNA, 562 nt
Filed under: uncultured bacterium
Lineage: Bacteria
Description: bacterial SSU rRNA
Rfam family: Bacterial small subunit ribosomal RNA
Source: RNAcentral
GGGUGCGUAACACGUGGGCAACCUGCCCUGGAGUUUGGGGUAGCCCGCCGAAAGGCGGAUUAAUACCGGAUAUGGCUAGUGACCGAUUGGUCGCGACGCUAAAGGUGGCGCAAGCUGCCGCUCUUGGAUGGGCCCGCGGCCUAUCAGCUAGUUGGUGAGGUAACGGCUCACCAAGGCGAUGACGGGUAGCUGGUCUGAGAGGACGACCAGCCACACUGGAACUGAGACACGGUCCAGACACCUACGGGUGGCAGCAGUCGAGAAUUUUUCGCAAUGGGGGAAACCCUGACGGAGCGACGCCGCGUGGAGGAUGAAGGUCUUCGGAUUGUAAACUCCUGUCAUUGGUGAACAAGGUGCUUCCAUUAACUGUGGAGGUAAUUGCUAGUAGCCGAAGAGGAAGGGACGGCUAACUCUGUGCCAGCAGCCGCGGUAAUACAGAGGUCCCGAGCGUUGUUCGGAUUCAUUGGGCGUAAAGGGUGCGUAGGCGGCUGGGUAAGUUUGAUGUGAAAUCCUGGGGCUCAACCCUGGAACUGCAUUGAAUACUGCUCGGCUAGAGUACUGG